GCAAGCUGGCCUGGGCAGGGCUUUUUAUGUGUUCAGUUUCGUGCUGUAGGCACCCACGCAUUGUGCAAACAUCCACACAUACAGCAAGCAUCAAUGCAUACGGUAAACCUCCACGUAUACAGCAAGCAUCAAUGCAUACAGUAAACCUCCAUGUAAACAGCAAGCAUCAACGCAUAAGCAAGCCUCCAUGUAUAGCAAGCUCAAUGCAUACAGUAAACCACGUAUACAGCAAGCAUCAAUGCAUACAGUAAACAUCCACGCAUGCAGCAAGCAUCAAUGCAUACAGUAAACCUCCAUGUAUACAGCAAGCAUCAGUGCAUACAGUAAACCUCCAUGUAUACAGCAAGCAUCAAUGCAUAAGCAAGCCUCCAUGUAUACAGCAAGCAUCAGUGCAUACAGUAAACCUCCAUGCAUACAGCAAGUAUCAAUGCAUAAGCAAGCCUCCACGUAUACAGCAAGCAUCAGUGCAUACAGUAAACCUCCACAUAUACAACAAGCAUCAAUGCAUACAGUAAACCUCCAUGUAUACAGCAAGCAUCAGUGCAUACAGUAAACCUCCAUGCAUACAGCAAGCAUCAAUGCAUAAGCAAGCCUCCAUGUAUACAGCAAGCAUCAGUGCAUACAGUAAACCUCCAUGCAUACAGCAAGCAUCAAUGCAUAAGCAAGCCUCCACGUAUACAGCAAGCAUCAAUGCAUAAGCAAGCCUCCAUGUAUACAGCAGGCACACGCACAGCUGCGGAGUGUACUCUGAGCUGUGGGUCCCAGCACCGAUGCCCCGCACCUGGCAGAGCUCGGCCGCCGCUCCGCGCCCACAGCUGGGGGCUCUGACUCCCACGGCCAGCCCCUGGCGGGGACUGGGCACAGGAGAGAUGGACUCAGCGCUGCCCCCGGGGGACCCGGCUCCACCCCCGCCCCCCACGUCCAGCUGCACGUGGACCCCAUGUGGCUGGAUCUGCCCGGAGGGGGCGGGCGCGGGGGCACAAGCUCCGGGCUCGCAGCUCCAGAAGUCCCGGGGGCCAGGAACAGAGACAAGGAGACUGAGGACAGGGGGUGGGGGGACCUGCCUGUCCCCUUUCCCCCCCCCCCCUCUGCAGUGGAGGAUGGCCCAGGUGCUUGGGUCCUGCACCGCAUGGGAGACCAGGAAAAGCACCUGGUCUCCUGGCUCCUGCCAUCGGAUCAGGGCAGUGAAGCGGCUGCAGUCCGCCCAGGCCGCGGCGGCCAAUUGAGGGGUAUACCCAACGGCCAAGGGACGACCUUUCUCUCUGUCUCUCUCUCUCACCUGUCCACUCUGCCUAUCUAAAAACAAUAGAAAAAGAGAAAUGCAUGAAGUUCUUAUACCUUGAAUAAAAGGUUUCUGGUGAAAGAUAAGUGAAUAAAU
This 1378-nucleotide long non-coding RNA is filed under the name Oryctolagus cuniculus (rabbit). Its description in RNAcentral is "lncRNA (ENSOCUG00000037111.1)". The record is from RNAcentral. Lineage: Eukaryota; Metazoa; Chordata; Mammalia; Lagomorpha; Leporidae.